GACUGGGGAGGGGAAAAAAGUAAUGUGUAUCCAGAAUACACUCCAAAUGGGUCCUAAUUAGAGUUAAGUUUUGUUGAGCCGGUGACGACAACGUGGAAAUCUUAGUCCUAAGAAAAAACGCAUAACUUCAUGAAUGGUGCAAAAAGAUCAAGUUUGUGCCCAUUCAGCAUAUAGCCACAAUCUUUUUCUAAUUUGAUAAAGAGCAACCUCAGGAACAUACCCUUCUCACCGCAAAUAGCUAAAUGCAAUUGGAAAUGAUGUCAUUGAACCGAAAGUUGUAAGUGGUGUCUUUUUAGAGGCGCUACGAUGUGGGAUAAAAGACAUUU
RNAcentral lists this long non-coding RNA (326 nucleotides) under Phoenix dactylifera (date palm). RNAcentral's name for it is "long non-coding RNA (PDAC_LNC008058)". Lineage: Eukaryota; Viridiplantae; Streptophyta; Magnoliopsida; Arecales; Arecaceae. The record is from RNAcentral.